AAUAGUGGAUGACAUUUAAAAAAAUGAUAGGGGGACAAAAGAAUGUCCAAUAUAUGUAGCACUUAAGCCACUUGCAAUCUAUCCAAAAUCAAUGAAAAAUGCCUUAAUUUAUUUAAUUUAAUGUUUUUCUUUAUGCUUUCCUUUAUUUUUCCAACAUAGUAGUUGUAGCUCUCUAACACAAUCUGGUAUAAAAAUUGUUCAGAGAAUUUAUUUUCUAGCCCCUUACUUUGCCAUAAAUGCCUUCCUCGCUUGAUAAUUAGCGAGCGCUGAAAAAACACAUUUCACGAAAAGGAAUACCGCGACUAAGAACAUCAUGACAGGAACAAGAAUAUGAAAAAUUAUGAAAUGUGGUUGUGCUCCAUUUUUGUGUCUUUUUCCUGCAACACAGAUUAAUUAGUGUUAACCUCAAUUUACUUGAAAUAAAUAAAAUCACUAUCUUAUUAUAUAGUUAAAAAUGUUGAAAAUUCAAACCUAUAGGUUGUGCAAAAUAUGGAUAAGUAUCAUAUCUAACAAUGCAACUUGGAUAUAAAACACUUCCUCUAAUCUUUCCUCUAGCACAAGAAGUUUGAAGAUAAUC
RNAcentral lists this long non-coding RNA (577 nucleotides) under Trifolium pratense (red clover). Its description in RNAcentral is "long non-coding RNA (TPRA_LNC012878)". The record is from RNAcentral. Lineage: Eukaryota; Viridiplantae; Streptophyta; Magnoliopsida; Fabales; Fabaceae.